AACGAGGCCGACCUGCGGCUGAGUUACCUGCGGAGGGAUCAUUACACAAUACAAUAUGAAGGCUGUCCGCAGCUGGAGUAUUUUAUUACCCUUGUCUUUUGCGCACUUGUUGUUUCCUGGGCGGGUUCGCUCGCCACCAGGACCACCAAAUAAACCUUUUUUAUGCAGUUGCAAUCAGCGUCAGUACAAACAAUGUAAAUCAUUUACAACUUUCAACAACGGAUCUCAGAUCGGAAGAGC
Molecule: unclassified non-coding RNA, 240 nt
Filed under: soil metagenome
Description: partial contains 5.8S ribosomal RNA, internal transcribed spacer 2, and large subunit ribosomal RNA
Source: RNAcentral